AAUAGAUACCCAGGUAGUCCACGCCGUAAACGUUGGGCGCUAGAUGUGGGGACCUUUCCACGGUUUCCGUGUCGUAGCUAACGCAUUAAGCGCCCCGCCUGGGGAGUACGGCCGCAAGGCUAAAACUCAAAGGAAUUGACGGGGGCCCGCACAAGCGGCGGAGCAUGCGGAUUAAUUCGAUGCAACGCGAAGAACCUUACCAAGGCUUGACAUACACGAGAACGGGCCAGAAAUGGUCAACUCUUUGGACACUCGUGAACAGGUGGUGCAUGGUUGUCGUCAGCUCGUGUCGUGAGAUGUUGGGUUAAGUCCCGCAACGAGCGCAACCCUCGUCGCAUGUUGCCAGCACGUUAUGGUGGGGACUCAUGUGAGACUGCCGGGGUCAACUCGGAGGAAGGUGGGGAUGACGUCAAAUCAUCAUGCCCCUUAUGUCUUGGGCUUCACGCAUGCUACAAUGGCCGGUACAAAGGGCUGCGAUGUCGUAAGGCGGAGCGAAUCCCAAAAAGUCGGUCUCAGUUCGGAUUGAGGUCUGCAAC
RNAcentral lists this ribosomal RNA (536 nucleotides) under uncultured bacterium. Its description in RNAcentral is "bacterial SSU rRNA". It matches the Rfam family "Bacterial small subunit ribosomal RNA", at positions 777 to 1311 of the family's 1533-position model. The record is from RNAcentral.